UACGUAGGUGGCAAGCGUUGUCCGGAAUUACUGGGUGUAAAGGGAGCGCAGGCGGGUGCGCAAGUUGGAAGUGAAACUCAUGGGCUCAACCCAUGACCUGCUUUCAAAACUGCGCGUCUUGAGUGGUGUAGAGGUAGGCGGAAUUCCCGGUGUAGCGGUGGAAUGCGUAGAUAUCGGGAGGAACACCAGUGGCGAAGGCGGCCUACUGGGCACUAACUGACGCUGAGGCUCGAAAGCAUGGGUAGCAAACAGG
This 253-nucleotide ribosomal RNA is filed under the name uncultured bacterium. RNAcentral describes it as "partial 16S ribosomal RNA". It matches the Rfam family "Bacterial small subunit ribosomal RNA", at positions 524 to 776 of the family's 1533-position model. The record is from RNAcentral.